RNAcentral lists this ribosomal RNA (1278 nucleotides) under Prasinoderma singulare. RNAcentral describes it as "SSU rRNA". It matches the Rfam family "Eukaryotic small subunit ribosomal RNA", at positions 74 to 1536 of the family's 1831-position model. The record is from RNAcentral. Lineage: Eukaryota; Viridiplantae; Prasinodermophyta; Prasinodermophyceae; Prasinodermales; Prasinodermaceae.
UUAUACGGUGAAACUGCGAAUGGCUCAUUAAAUCAGUUAUAGUUUAUUUGAUGGUCUUGUACUCGGAUACCUGUUGGAAUCCAAGAGCUAAUACGUGCGCAACUCCCGACUUCUGGAAGGGACGUAUUUAUUAGAUACAAAAUCAACAUCUUCAAAGUUGAGCCAUGAUAACUGAUCGGAUCGCAUGGCCUUGUGCCGGCGACGUUUCAUUCAAAUUUCUGCCCUAUCAACUGUCGAUGGUAGGAUAGAGGCCUACCAUGGUGGUAACGGGUGACGGAGAAUUAGGGUUCGAUUCCGGAGAGGGAGCCUGAGAAAUGGCUACCACAUCCAAGGAUGGCAGCAGGCGCGCAAAUUACCCAAUCCUGACACAGGGAGGUAGUGACAAUAAAUAACAAUACCGGGCUUUUUCAAGUCUGGUACUUGGAAUGAGAACAAUCUAAAUCCCUUACCGAGGAUCCAUUGGAGGGCAAGUCUGGUGCCAGCAGCCGCGGUAAUUCCAGCUCCAAUAGCGUAUAUUUAAGUUGUUGCAGUUAAAAAGCUCGUAGUUGGAUUUUGGGUUAGGGUGUCCGGUCCGCCGUUUCGGUGUGCACUGGGCGCUCUUUCCUUUCUGCCGGGGACCGUUGGGUGUCUUAAUUGCCAUCCCUCGGGAGUCGGCGUUGUUACUUUGAAAAAAUUAGAGUGUUCAAAGCAAGCCAUCGCUCUGAAUACAUUAGCAUGGAAUAACAUGAUAGGACUCCGCUCUUAUUUUGUUGGUUUCCGAGACUGGAGUAAUGAUUAAGAGGGACAGUCGGGGGCAUCCGUAUUUCAUUGUCAGAGGUGAAAUUCUUGGAUUUAUGAAAGACGAACUUCUGCGAAAGCAUUUGCCAAGGAUGUUUUCAUUAAUCAAGAACGAAAGUUGGGGGCUCGAAGAUGAUCAGAUACCAUCCUAGUCUCAACCAUAAACGAUGCCGACUAGGGAUUGGCGGAUGUUCCUUAGAUGACUCCGCCAGCACCUUAUGAGAAAUCAUUAAGUUUUUGGGUUCCGGGGGGAGUAUGGUCGCAAGGCUGAAACUUAAAGGAAUUGACGGAAGGGCACCACCAGGCGUUGUUUGCUACAAGCUCUAAGCGCCAGUCAGCGAUUGAUGGACCGCCACUGCCCUUGGCCCAUCGCAAGAUCCGCUGGCUAGUUUUCUCCUUUGACAAAAGCGAGAAAGCGACACUCUCGAAGUGCUGGGAAGCUUUUCGAGCGCUCGUACCAAGCUGCUUUGCAGAAAGCAGUGGCCGCUCAUUCUUGGCGGG